RNAcentral lists this small nuclear RNA (21 nucleotides) under Arabidopsis thaliana (thale cress). RNAcentral's name for it is "snRNA_04589". Lineage: Eukaryota; Viridiplantae; Streptophyta; Magnoliopsida; Brassicales; Brassicaceae. The record is from RNAcentral.
UGCGUCCUGGUCGGAUGCGGA